CCUCAGACUGACCCACUACCCUAAGGAAAGCAAUCAGCCUCUUUCCUGGUGGUCCAUUGCCACAUGCUGUUAGAGCAUCUGCAACAAGCUAAGAUGUGGACAAUGCAACCAAAGUACCACGAACAACUCAGCAAUUCCAUGAGCGUAAAGAUCUGGUUCACUGUUCCACAGCCACUAUAGACAAAGGACUUAAGCCUACAGCCCUGAGAUCAAAGUCUCCUAUCUGUCUCCUCUCAUUCCUGAUGGCUGCAAAAGAUCAGAGGCCAAUGAUUCAUUCAUGACGUAUUGCUGUACACGGAAAGCACGCUGGGCCUAAUCUCAUCACCCUGUUAUGCUCAGCACAUGUGCACACCUGCACAUACAGAGAGACAAUUCUAGACCUGGACCCUGGCUUCAGGAUCAAACAGAUCAUUGUAAAGGCAGUCUCUGUUCAACACUCAGAAUAGGAAGGAGUACCCCUCUGAAAACAGUCCAGCCACAGUGGAUUGUACAAAAGAAAGUAAAACAAUACCAUGUUGAAGUAAAUAAGAAAAUUACAAACAAUUGAAAGAUUUUCAUUCUCAGCGCAAUGAAACAAGGCAACAAAACCCACUGAAUAAUUAAAAAAAGCUGGGAUUGUUAUUGAGUUGAAAUGGUCUCAGGUAGAAUCUAAUUUCUGCACAUGCGAUCAAAACAGAGUUAUUGAAUUCUCUACUGCUUAAGGGCCUUUGUGUGUUUUCUUUUGGUGGAAAAAAGAAAAUCUUGUGACCUAAAUAAUUCAGAUAUAGAUUAUGUUUCCCUGUUUUUUCUCACCAAAGGUCAAUUGAAUUUACUCUGGGAAAUACCAAACAUACAAUCCAACUGUGGCAGUCUGUUUAAGGAGAAAAGACAUCUGAUCAAGUGCUUUUGAUUCUGCUGUUUUCUGCU
This is a long non-coding RNA of Poecilia latipinna (sailfin molly), 906 nucleotides long. RefSeq lists it as uncharacterized. The transcript is spliced from 3 exons. The record is from RefSeq and is a predicted model, not a curated record. Lineage: Eukaryota; Metazoa; Chordata; Actinopteri; Cyprinodontiformes; Poeciliidae.